Molecule: ribosomal RNA, 253 nt
Filed under: uncultured bacterium
Lineage: Bacteria
Also listed under: 1 other name
Description: partial 16S ribosomal RNA
Rfam family: Bacterial small subunit ribosomal RNA
Source: RNAcentral
UACGUAGGGGGCAAGCGUUGUCCGGAUUUAUUGGGCGUAAAGAGCGUGUAGGCGGCCAUACAGGUCAGCUGUGAAAACUCGAGGCUCAACCUCGAGACGUCGGUUGAAACCGUAUGGCUAGAGUCCGGAAGAGGAGAGUGGAAUUCCCGGUGUAGCGGUGAAAUGCGCAGAUAUCGGGAAGAACACCCGUGGCGAAGGCGGCUCUCUGGGACGGUACUGACGCUGAGACGCGAAAGCGUGGGGAGCGAACAGG